GGGCCCGCACAAGCGGUGGAGUAUGUGGUUUAAUUCGAUGCAACGCGAAGAACCUUACCAGGGUUUGACAUCCUGCGAAUCUCUUGGAAACGAGAGAGUGCCUUCGGGAGCGCAGUGACAGGUGGUGCAUGGCUGUCGUCAGCUCGUGUCGUGAGAUGUUGGGUUAAGUCCCGCAACGAGCGCAACCCACGUCUUUAGUUGCCAGCAUUCAGUUGGGCACUCUAGAGAGACCGCCGGUGAUAAACCGGAGGAAGGUGUGGAUGAUGUCAAGUCAUCAUGGCCCUUACGGCCUGGGCUACACACGUGCUACAAUGGGGAGUACAAAGGGUAGCAAUACCGCGAGGUGGAGCAAAUCCCAAAAAACUUUCGUAGUCCGGAUUGGAGUCUGCAACUCGACUCCAUGAAGUCGGAAUCGCUAGUAAUCG
Molecule: ribosomal RNA, 425 nt
Filed under: uncultured bacterium
Lineage: Bacteria
Description: bacterial SSU rRNA
Rfam family: Bacterial small subunit ribosomal RNA
Source: RNAcentral